RNAcentral lists this ribosomal RNA (774 nucleotides) under uncultured Neocallimastigales. RNAcentral's name for it is "partial large subunit ribosomal RNA". The stretch from base 1 to 693 matches the Rfam family "Eukaryotic large subunit ribosomal RNA", at positions 26 to 664 of the family's 3401-position model. The record is from RNAcentral. Lineage: Eukaryota; Fungi; Neocallimastigomycota; Neocallimastigomycetes; Neocallimastigales.
CGCAUCUGUGCAUGCAGCAUAUCAAUAAGCGGAGGAAAAGAAACUAACAAGGAUUCCCUUAGUAACGGCGAGUGAAGCGGGAAGAGCUCAAAUUUGAAAUCUUCAAGGUUUUACCUUGACGAAUUGUAGUUUAAAGAAGUGUUUUCUGCUGAAGUUUUGGUAAAAGUUCUUUGGAAUAGGACAUCAUAGAGGGUGAGAAUCCCGUAUUUGACCAUUAUUUUCAGCUUUGUGAUACACUUUCAAAGAGUCGGAUUGUUUGGGAAUGCAGUCCAAAAUGGGUGGUAAAUUUCAUCUAAAGCUAAAUAUUGGCGAGAGACCGAUAGCGAACAAGUACCGUGAGGGAAAGAUGAAAAGAACUUUGAAAAGAGAGUUAAACAGUACGUGAAAUUGUCAAAAGGGAAGCGUUUGACACCAGUGUUGUCUUCUCGAAAAUCAAUUAAAAAUGAUGGGAUUUUGUAUUGUAUUGACUUUAUCAGCUUUCUGCACUUUUUUCUUAUCUUUUUUAAUGCACUUUUCGUUUAACAAGUCAACAUCAAUUUCUUUUGUUGUAAAAGAGUCAUUGGAAGGUGGCUUUUUCUUCGGAAAAAGUGUUUAUAGCCUUUGGCUUCUGCAAUCGGGGAGAUUGAGGUCUGCAGCGUAGAUCCUUCGGGGUUAGAUACAUUUGUGCUAAGCUAUAGUUCUUUAUAGACAACUUGUUGACUAUAAUCAAUCCUGUAACUUACUCGCUUAUGCUAUUUUACCUACGCUUAGGAUGUUGACAGCAGUAUAGACUGU